CCGUCGCUACUACCGAUUGAAUGGCUCAGUGAGGCGUCCGGACUGGCCCAGAGAGGAGGGAAACCACCACUCAGGGCCGGAAAGCUCUCCAAACUCGGUCAUUUAGAGGAAGUAAAAGUCGUAACAAGGUCUCCGUUGGUGAACCAGCGGAGGGAUCAUUACCGAGUUUACAACUCCCAAACCCAUGUGAACAUACCUACUGUUGCUUCGGCGGGAUUGCCCCGGGCGCCUCGUGUGCCCCGGAUCAGGCGCCCGCCUAGGAAACUUAAUUCUUGUUUUAUUUUGGAAUCUUCUGAGUAGUUUUUACAAAUAAAUAAAAACUUUCAACAACGGAUCUCUUGGUUCUGGCAUCGAUGAAGAACGCAGCGAAAUGCGAUAAGUAAUGUGAAUUGCAGAAUUCAGUGAAUCAUCGAAUCUUUGAACGCACAUUGCGCCCGCCAGUAUUCUGGCGGGCAUGCCUGUCUGAGCGUCAUUUCAACCCUCAUGCCCCUAGGGCGUGGUGUUGGGGAUCGGCCAAAGCCCGCGAGGGACGGCCGGCCCCUAAAUCUAGUGGCGGACCCGUCGUGGCCUCCUCUGCGAAGUAGUGAUAUUCCGCAUCGGAGAGCGACGAGCCCCUGCCGUUAAACCCCCAACUUUCCAAGGUUGACCUCAGAUCAGGUAGG
This 662-nucleotide ribosomal RNA is filed under the name Clonostachys rosea. Its description in RNAcentral is "eukaryotic LSU rRNA". The stretch from base 319 to 472 matches the Rfam family "5.8S ribosomal RNA". Lineage: Eukaryota; Fungi; Ascomycota; Sordariomycetes; Hypocreales; Bionectriaceae. The record is from RNAcentral.